Oncorhynchus keta (chum salmon) is the source of this 718-nucleotide long non-coding RNA. RefSeq lists it as uncharacterized. The transcript has 5 exons. The record is from RefSeq and is a predicted model, not a curated record. Lineage: Eukaryota; Metazoa; Chordata; Actinopteri; Salmoniformes; Salmonidae.
AUGUGUGUCAUUCAGAGGGUGAGUGAGCAAGACAAAAUAUGUAGGUGCCUUUGAACAGGAUAUGGUAGUAGGUGCCUUUGAACAGGAUAUGGUAGUAGGUGCCUUUGAACAGGAUAUGGUAGUAGGUGCCUUUGAACAGGAUAUGGUAGUAGGUGCCUUUGAACAGGAUAUGGUAGUAGGUGCCUUUGAACAGGAUAUGGUAGUAGGUGCCUUUGAACAGGAUAUGGUAGUAGGUGCCUUUGAACAGGAUAUGGUAGUAGGUGCCUUUGAACAGGAUAUGGUAGUAGGUGCCUUUGAACAGGAUAUGGUAGUAGGUGCAUUUGAACAGGAUAUGGUAGUAGGUGCCUUUGAACAGGAUAUGGUAGUAGGUGCAUUUGAACAGGAUAUGGUAGUAGGUGCAUUUGAACAGGAUAUGGUAGUAGGUGCCUUUGAACAGGAUAUGGUAGUAGGUGCAUUUGAACAGGAUAUGGUAGUAGGUGCCUUUGAACAGGAUAUGGUAGUAGGUGCAUUUGAACAGGAUAUGGUAGUAGGUGCCUUUGAACAGGAUAUGGUAGUAGGUGCCUUUGAACAGGAUAUGGUAGUAGGUGCCUUUGAACAGGAUAUGGUAGUAGGUGCCUUUGAACAGGAUAUGGUAGUAGGUGCCUUUGAACAGGAUAUGGUAGUAGGUGCAUUUGAACAGGAUAUGGUAGUAGGUGCCUUUGAACAGGAUAUGGUAGUA